AGGAGUGGCGAACGGGUGAGUAACACGUGGGUAACCUGCCCAUCAGAAGGGGAUAACACUUGGAAACAGGUGCUAAUACCGUAUAACAAUCGAAACCGCAUGGUUUUGAUUUGAAAGGCGCUUUCGGGUGUCGCUGAUGGAUGGACCCGCGGUGCAUUAGCUAGUUGGUGAGGUAACGGCUCACCAAGGCCACGAUGCAUAGCCGACCUGAGAGGGUGAUCGGCCACAUUGGGACUGAGACACGGCCCAAACUCCUACGGGAGGCAGCAGUAGGGAAUCUUCGGCAAUGGACGAAAGUCUGACCGAGCAACGCCGCGUGAGUGAAGAAGGUUUUCGGAUCGUAAAACUCUGUUGUUAGAGAAGAACAAGGAUGAGAGUAACUGUUCAUCCCUUGACGGUAUCUAACCAGAAAGCCACGGCUAACUACGUGCCAGCAGCCGCGGUAAUACGUAGGUGGCAAGCGUUGUCCGGAUUUAUUGGGCGUAAAGCGAGCGCAGGCGGUUUCUUAA
RNAcentral lists this ribosomal RNA (509 nucleotides) under Enterococcus faecium. Its description in RNAcentral is "bacterial SSU rRNA". It matches the Rfam family "Bacterial small subunit ribosomal RNA", at positions 91 to 586 of the family's 1533-position model. Lineage: Bacteria; Bacillati; Bacillota; Bacilli; Lactobacillales; Enterococcaceae. The record is from RNAcentral.